CUAAGGCUGGCAGUGUGUCGUCAAAAGCAUCGGGACAGAUUGGCGGACCGUUGAAAUCUCCAAUUGCGCCUCUAACCAAGACCACGUCAGGGAUGGCCGACCCGACGGUGACUGAAAUAAACGUGAACGCCAUGAAGGAUAUUCCGUUUCACAGUAGAAGGGGCUCAGGAAGCAUCGCAUCUAGUAUUAUGCAGAAUGUCGAUUCUGUCAGUUCAGAGAGACGGGAUAGUUCGCUUCAUACUACGACGAGCCAGUCACAGUCACAACAGGAGUCAGCACCGAGUAGGCAGUCGUAUUCGCCAGUUUUAAUAGCAAGACAUAACAACAGUGAAUCUUUUCGAGAGACUCGCUUGCCGGAAAGUGUUCCCAUGGAACGCGCAGCGUCUCCAAAAUUGCAGUCUGCCAUCGAAGAUCGACAUGCCUUAGCUGAACUGGAUACAUCUUUCUCAAGAUCUGCUUGGAAAACAUCGAUUGAUGGAACGAACGAUACACAUCCUUCUCGUAGAGACUGCCAACCUGGAAACUCUAACAAAUCCAUCUCGAAUGAUUAUUCACCAGCUCCAACUUCCAUCACUAACAGCGUUUCAAAACUCUCAACCACGGAUAGUUCCAUCCACGAAGGCAAAACACCUACAACACUAGCAACAUCGCUAACCAUGACAGACAAGGAGCAAUCAUCCACGCAC
Molecule: small RNA, 686 nt
Filed under: Histoplasma capsulatum
Lineage: Eukaryota; Fungi; Ascomycota; Eurotiomycetes; Onygenales; Ajellomycetaceae
Also listed under: 1 other name
Description: hypothetical RNA
Source: RNAcentral